This 445-nucleotide long non-coding RNA is filed under the name Mytilus galloprovincialis (Mediterranean mussel). Lineage: Eukaryota; Metazoa; Mollusca; Bivalvia; Mytilida; Mytilidae. The record is from RNAcentral.
GUUCAGUAAAUUCAGAUGCCCAUAUAGAUUUUUUGAUAGUCGUUUAUCUGAUUAUGGUUCUACCAGAGACACGUAUGUCGGAUUCAAAACUAGAAUUUAAGCCCAAUACAGAAAUGCACAGAACCUAAAAACUGUUAUAGGUCAUUGUACGGCCUUCGCCAAUUAGCAAAGCCCGGAAUCACACAUUUAAAACAAUUCAAACGAGAAAACUAACUUGGCCUAAAAAAAAAAUGUACAAAAAAAAUGAACGGAAAACCAAAUAUGUUACACUGCAAAAUACGACAACCACUGAAUUACAGGCCCCUGAAAUGAGACAGGCACAUACAUAAGCAUAUUAAAAAAGUUAUCGGGAUCACAACCCUCCCUCAAAACCCAUGAACCUGGGAUAGAAGGUUGAUAAGUUAAGUUUAUUACAAUAAAAUAAGCAGGUGUAUCUUAAUCGCAC